GAGCACGUAGGUGGGUUUGUAAGUCAGAAGUGAAAGCCUUCUGUUCAACGGAAGAAUAGCAUCUGAAACUGCGAGUCUUGAGUGUAGGAGGGGAGAAUGGAACUUCUGGUGGAGCGGUGAAAUGCGUAGAUAUCAGAAGGAACGCCGGCGGCGAAAGCGAUUCUCUGGCCUAUUACUGACACUCAGUGUGCGAAAGCUAGGGGAGCAAACGGGAUUAGAUACCCCGGUAGUCCUAGCCGUAAACGAUGGGCACUAAGUAGAGGGAAUUACCGAUGUUCUCUCUGCCGUAGCUAACGCAUUAAGUGCCCCGCCUGGGGAGUACGGCCGCAAGGCUAAAACUCAAAAGAAUUGACGGGGGCUCGCACAAGCGGUGGAGCAUGUGGCUUAAUUCGAUGCAACGCGAAAAACCUUACCGGGGCUUGACGUGGUAGAAGUAGGAACCCGAAAGGGUAACGAACGGUAUCCGGUCCGUAGCUAUCACAGGUGUUGCAUGACUGUCGUCAGCUCGUGUCGUGAGACGUUGGGUUAAGUCCCCUAACGAGCGAAACCCUUGUUUUUAGUUACCAGCGGGUUGUACCGGGUACUCUAGAAAGACUGCCGUCGUCAAGACGGAGGAAGGUGGGGAUGACGUCAAGUCAUCAUGGCCCUUAUGCCCCGGGCUGCACACGUGCUACAAUGGUCGGUACGAACGGAUGCGAAGCCGAGAGGUGAAGCGAAUCC
This 720-nucleotide ribosomal RNA is filed under the name uncultured anaerobic ammonium-oxidizing bacterium. RNAcentral describes it as "bacterial SSU rRNA". It matches the Rfam family "Bacterial small subunit ribosomal RNA", at positions 565 to 1274 of the family's 1533-position model. The record is from RNAcentral.